This is a long non-coding RNA of Bos taurus (domestic cattle), 512 nucleotides long. NCBI's taxonomy places the organism in Eukaryota, Metazoa, Chordata, Mammalia, Artiodactyla, Bovidae. The record is from Ensembl.
GCUGUAUGUCCUGCAGCUCAAAGACUCUAUCAUCUCCACUCUACCAGAGCCCAUCUGGGAAUUUGUAAUUGACUGUGGAAGCAUUUUUCAGGACAGCUGCUUUUACAGCCUUGAUGAUUUGGGUGAGAUGAGGUCAUCUGACAUCUGAGUGAUCCUUGAGGUGGUGCUGGUCGCACCUCAAAGGAUGUGGUCUGGUUCUCUGCCGUCCUGUCUAUCCUGGGCCUCCCUCUUCCACGGAUAAGGAUGUGAAGAAACAAACGAGAAAGCAAAGUGAAUCAGAAUCCACCUGGCACUGCAGAGGACACCGGUUCAACCCCUGGUCCUGGAAUAUCCCACCUGCCAGAGAGCAACUAUACCCGUGCGCCACAUCUACGGAAGCCCUCACGCCCUGGAGUUUGUGCUCCGUGACAAGAGAAGCCACCGCAGUGAGAAGCCCGCGCGCCACCGUGAAGAGCAAACCCUGCCUUCCACAACUAGAGAAAGCCUGCGUGCAACAGUUGAAGACCCAGAGC